GUACUCACUUUGGCAGCAUAUAUACUAAAAUUGGAACGAUACACAGAAGAUUAGCAUGGCCCCUGCACAAGGAUGGCACACAAAUUCAUGAAACAUUCUAUAUUAAU
This is a small nuclear RNA of Ictidomys tridecemlineatus (thirteen-lined ground squirrel), 107 nucleotides long. The record is from Ensembl. NCBI's taxonomy places the organism in Eukaryota, Metazoa, Chordata, Mammalia, Rodentia, Sciuridae.